This 465-nucleotide ribosomal RNA is filed under the name Vreelandella stevensii. RNAcentral's name for it is "partial 16S ribosomal RNA". It matches the Rfam family "Bacterial small subunit ribosomal RNA", at positions 338 to 795 of the family's 1533-position model. The record is from RNAcentral. Lineage: Bacteria; Pseudomonadati; Pseudomonadota; Gammaproteobacteria; Oceanospirillales; Halomonadaceae.
CCUACGGUGGGCUGCAGUGGGGAAUAUUGGACAAUGGGCGAAAGCCUGAUCCAGCCAUGCCGCGUGUGUGAAGAAGGCCUUCGGGUUGUAAAGCACUUUCAGUGGGGAAGAAAGCCUUGGGGCUAAUACCCUCGAGGAAGGACAUCACCCACAGAAGAAGCACCGGCUAACUCCGUGCCAGCAGCCGCGGUAAUACGGAGGGUGCGAGCGUUAAUCGGAAUUACUGGGCGUAAAGCGCGCGUAGGCGGUCUGAUAAGCCGGUUGUGAAAGCCCCGGGCUCAACCUGGGAACGGCAUCCGGAACUGUCAGGCUAGAGGGCAGGAGAGGAAGGUAGAAUUCCCGGGGUAGGGGUGAAAUGCGUAGAGAUCGGGAGGAAUACCAGUGGCGAAGGCGGCCUUCUGGACUGACACUGACGCUGAGGUGCGAAAGCGUGGGGAGCAAACAGGAUUAGAUACCCCAGUAGUC